This 995-nucleotide long non-coding RNA is filed under the name Zea mays. RNAcentral's name for it is "drought responsive lncRNA". Lineage: Eukaryota; Viridiplantae; Streptophyta; Magnoliopsida; Poales; Poaceae. The record is from RNAcentral.
GUGAGAUUCAUUAUUGGUGCCAGUUUGGUAAUGGUGUCACGAUUAACGACUUAUGGUGCCGCAGCGAAACUGAGAGCUCCUUGUGAAUGUACACGCAAGGUUAUGCUGCUUGGCGCAUGCUGGUAUCGAUGUCUCUAGUCAUGAUCCAUUGUGGAACUACACUGAUGUGUGAUCUUCCGUGGAGUCCUCCCUUGAAACAAUUUCUAUGUUGUUUGUCAAGUGAUCAAGCAACAUCUAUCAUCUCUGUUGGAUCAAAAGGGCAUACCACUUUCAUGUGUGAUCUCUUAUCUUUUGACUUUGAUGGUGACUUCACACAUACAAGUUCCCUUUACAUCCUUUGUGUAAAGGUGAAGCCUUGGAGCUUUUUAGUGUUGCAAGACAACCAAUUAGUUCCCAAAAUGGAGAUUUGUUUCCCCUGCUGCUGAAAUGCAGGAGUUUGUUCAUUCGCUCUCUUAUUUAAUUCAUGUAUUCCCUAACCAAGUCGGUUCAUCUUGUAUAGAAGAAACGGAUGAAUAACCUGACCAAAUGAAUUCCUACCCAAGUGCAUGACCUUUUACUAGCAAACAUAAGCUCGACCGUUGGCUUACCGAUGGUACUGAGAGGACUUGCUCAAUGUCAAAAGUAGUUCAACAAGUUGGUUUUACUGACUUGUAACUGCUCAAUGAACGAAGGUUGAGUUUAGAGAUCGUUUUAUCGAUUUGCCUGAACUCACUUUGGUUCAACCCACUCAAGAAAGUACUUGCAAGAAUCAAGAUUAAACCGACUAAUAACCACCUAAUCAUCGCUCUAGUCAUGCCUCGAUCGCCUCACGUGUGCUUUUUCAGCAUGUGUGAUCAAGUCGAGCCAUGGUUAGUGCUUGCUAUAAUAGAUUGGUUGCAAAGACAACAUCUACAGAUCCCUCCACUGGUGAUUCUCUCGAAUCUAUAUCACCUUUCAGGGACUUGGAUUUUCUGGCUAGUCACGGGUCAACUGUGAUGUUAUUCGACAUUCACCCC